AGCCUUCUGAUGCUUGUCAUCAGCUGUGUUCUUGCACUGACUGUAUAGAAAAAGUUGGCAAAGUAAACCUACCCCAUAUAUACCUCAGCCCAGGUCCUGUAACUGGUCUGUAUUGUGACUGUGGAGACAUGG
This 132-nucleotide small nucleolar RNA is filed under the name Castor canadensis (American beaver). RNAcentral describes it as "Small nucleolar RNA SNORA51 (ENSCCNG00000013574.1)". It matches the Rfam family "Small nucleolar RNA SNORA51". From Rfam's summary of the family: ACA51 is a member of the H/ACA class of snoRNA that guide the sites of modification of uridines to pseudouridines. Lineage: Eukaryota; Metazoa; Chordata; Mammalia; Rodentia; Castoridae. The record is from Rfam by way of RNAcentral.